This 301-nucleotide ribosomal RNA is filed under the name uncultured bacterium. Its description in RNAcentral is "partial 16S ribosomal RNA". It matches the Rfam family "Bacterial small subunit ribosomal RNA", at positions 509 to 807 of the family's 1533-position model. The record is from RNAcentral.
CAGUAGCCGCGGUAAUACGAAGGGGGCUAGCGUUGCUCGGAAUGACUGGGCGUAAAGGGCGCGUAGGCGGUUCGUACAGUUGGAUGUGAAAUUCCUGGGCUUAACCUGGGGGCUGCAUUCAAUACGUGCGGGCUUGAGUGUGGAAGAGGGUUGUGGAAUUCCCAGUGUAGAGGUGAAAUUCGUAGAUAUUGGGAAGAACACCGGUGGCGAAGGCGGCAACCUGGUCCGUAACUGACGCUGAGGCGCGAAAGCGUGGGGAGCAAACAGGAUUAGAUACCCGCGUAGUCCCUGUCUCUUAUAC